ACACCGCCCGUCACACCAUGAGAGUUGGCAAUACCCGAAGUCCGUGAGCUAACCGCAAGGAGGCAGCGGCCGAAGGUAGGGUCAGCGAUUGGGGUGAAGUCGUAACAAGGUAGCCGUAGGAGAACCUGCGGCUGGAUCACCUCCUUU
RNAcentral lists this ribosomal RNA (147 nucleotides) under Clostridium perfringens. RNAcentral's name for it is "partial 16S ribosomal RNA". It matches the Rfam family "Bacterial small subunit ribosomal RNA", at positions 1387 to 1533 of the family's 1533-position model. Lineage: Bacteria; Bacillati; Bacillota; Clostridia; Eubacteriales; Clostridiaceae. The record is from RNAcentral.